Hypoxylon cercidicola is the source of this 72-nucleotide non-coding RNA. The record is from the annotation of a GenBank genome assembly. Lineage: Eukaryota; Fungi; Ascomycota; Sordariomycetes; Xylariales; Hypoxylaceae.
GGAUCGGUAGCUCAGUGGUAGAGCAGUGGAUUGCAGAUCCAAAGGUCGCGUGUUCGAUCCACGCUCGGUCCU